This 219-nucleotide unclassified non-coding RNA is filed under the name Hevea brasiliensis (rubber tree). The record is from RNAcentral. Lineage: Eukaryota; Viridiplantae; Streptophyta; Magnoliopsida; Malpighiales; Euphorbiaceae.
GCCGGCUCAUAAACAACGUAAAAAUUUUCUUACAACAUAGGAACUUUGAAAAAAAGAAGACAAGCAAAAGCAGCAAACCAAAAUUUUCAGGUUAGGAGCAAUAGAUGAUAACACCACAGUUUUUUAAACGACAGAACCAGGUCAGAAUGCUCCACAUAUAGCAACAUUGAUCUUGAAAUGAGCACCAUCAUCAGUAAUUUUUUGCUAGAUCACGAAGGC